This 253-nucleotide ribosomal RNA is filed under the name uncultured bacterium. RNAcentral's name for it is "partial 16S ribosomal RNA". It matches the Rfam family "Bacterial small subunit ribosomal RNA", at positions 524 to 776 of the family's 1533-position model. The record is from RNAcentral.
UACGGGGGGGGCAAGCGUUGUUCGGAAUUACUGGGCGUAAAGGGCUCGUAGGCGGCCAACUAAGUCAGACGUGAAAUCCCUCGGCUUAACCGGGGAACUGCAUCUGAUACUGGAUGGCUUGAGAUUGGGAGAGGGAUGCGGAAUUCCAGGUGUAGCGGUGAAAUGCACAGAUAUCGGGAAGAACACCCGUGGCGAAGGCGGCUCUCUGGGACGGUACUGACGCUGAGACGCGAAAGCGUGGGGAGCGAACAGG